AUUCCAGGCAGGGGAAUGGCCAGUGCAAACAAUAUAGAGAACAGAAGUUUGUAUAGUGUGCAGGAAUGAGAAGGAGGCUGAUGUGGCUGGAAUGGGAAAGCCAAAGGUCAAGUAGUUAGAUGAGGGGCUGGGCAGAUAGUGACAUUAUGAUUUAAUUUUAGAAAGAUCUCUGUCUGCUCUCCAGAAUAGACUUAUAUGUUACUGUGUAAAGGGUAGAAGCCAGGAGACAAGCUGCUAUUUUUUUAAUCCACACAAGAUGUGAUGAUGGCCAAGACUAGAAUUGUUGAAGUGGAGGUGGUGAAAAGUGGUCAGAUCCUGAAAUAUGACAGAAAAAGGAGUCAAAGAUGACAUCAAGAUAUUUGUUCUCAGCAACUGGAAAGAUAAAGUUGCCAUUGGCUGAGAUGGGGAGGAAGGUAUAGAUAAAGUAAGAGUUCAGUCUGGGGCUUUGUCAAGGCAAAUAAAUGUUAGGUUAUUGCUGGCUUGACAUAAUUUUCUUCUGGAGAUCAUGUCUUAAAAGUAGACUGCUGUAAGCCAUUUUCUUUAAUGACCAUGUCCUAUAUUCUGGAUACAUGUGUAUGCUUGUCUUUUGCUAGUUAGUUACUAGUGGAAACUAGUGAAUAGGUAAAAGCAACAUGAAAUAUAG
RNAcentral lists this long non-coding RNA (643 nucleotides) under Homo sapiens (human). RNAcentral describes it as "long non-coding RNA NONHSAT247750". Lineage: Eukaryota; Metazoa; Chordata; Mammalia; Primates; Hominidae. The record is from RNAcentral.